This 512-nucleotide ribosomal RNA is filed under the name uncultured bacterium. Its description in RNAcentral is "bacterial SSU rRNA". It matches the Rfam family "Bacterial small subunit ribosomal RNA", at positions 791 to 1304 of the family's 1533-position model. The record is from RNAcentral.
UAGUCCACGCCGUAAACGCUGUCAACUCGUAGUCUGUGGCUUCGGCCGUGGGUUACCAAGCUAACGCGAUAAGUUGACCGCCUGGGGAGUACGGCCGCAAGGUUAAAACUCAAAUGAAUUGACGGGGGCCCGCACAAGCGGUGGAGCAUGUGGUUUAAUUCGAUGCAACGCGAAGAACCUUACCAGCCCUUGACAUCCUGGGAAUUUUGUAGAGAUACAUUAGUGCCUUCGGGAAUCCAGUGACAGGUGCUGCAUGGCUGUCGUCAGCUCGUGUCGUGAGAUGUUGGGUUAAGUCCCGCAACGAGCGCAACCCUUGUCCAUAGUUGCCAGCACUUCGGGUGGGAACUCUAUGGAGACUGCCGGUGAUAAACCGGAGGAAGGUGGGGAUGACGUCAAGGCAUCAUGGCCCUUAUGGGCUGGGCUACACACGUGCUACAAUGGUCGGUACAGAGGGUCGCAAACCCGCGAGGGGGAGCCAAUCCCAGAAAGCCGAUCUUAGUCCGGAUCGCAGU